This 274-nucleotide ribosomal RNA is filed under the name uncultured bacterium. Its description in RNAcentral is "partial 16S ribosomal RNA". It matches the Rfam family "Bacterial small subunit ribosomal RNA", at positions 523 to 796 of the family's 1533-position model. The record is from RNAcentral.
AUACGGAGGGUGCAAGCGUUACUCGGAAUCACUGGGCGUAAAGCGCGCGCAGGCGGGCUGAUAAGUUGGAUGUGAAAGCCUACGGCUCAACCGUAGAACUGCAUCCAAAACUGUCAGUCUAGAGUCUGGGAGGGGAAGAUGGAAUUAGUUGUGUAGGGGUAAAAUACGUAGAGAUAACUAGGAAUACCAAAAGCGAAGGCGAUCUUCUGGAACAGUACUGACGCUGAGGCGCGAAAGCGUGGGGAGCAAACAGGAUUAGAUACCCUAGUAGUCC